GCGUAUUUUGCGCAGGCGGAACUCGACCGCUCACUGAAGCGAUAUCGCCUUCAUUCACUGCCCGGCAGUCGAUACGGAGUAUCGAUGAGAGGGGAAGAUCAGCGCAUUGUUUACGGCUUCGAGUCGAUUUGCAGGGCUUUGCCGAUCGCGCC
RNAcentral lists this non-coding RNA (152 nucleotides) under uncultured Roseovarius sp. The record is from RNAcentral. Lineage: Bacteria; Pseudomonadati; Pseudomonadota; Alphaproteobacteria; Rhodobacterales; Roseobacteraceae.